UACUUAGAAACGAAGUAAACAACUGAGGC
RNAcentral lists this small RNA (29 nucleotides) under Bombyx mori (domestic silkworm). Its description in RNAcentral is "ovarian small RNA-21594". The record is from RNAcentral. Lineage: Eukaryota; Metazoa; Arthropoda; Insecta; Lepidoptera; Bombycidae.